Molecule: ribosomal RNA, 256 nt
Filed under: uncultured Neisseria sp.
Lineage: Bacteria; Pseudomonadati; Pseudomonadota; Betaproteobacteria; Neisseriales; Neisseriaceae
Description: partial 16S ribosomal RNA
Rfam family: Bacterial small subunit ribosomal RNA
Source: RNAcentral
UGGCGAACGGGUGAGUAACAUAUCGGAACGUACCGGGUAGCGGGGGACAACUGAUCGAAAGAUCAGCUAAUACCGCAUACGUCUUGAGAGGGAAAGCAGGGGACCUUCGGGCCUUGCGCUAUCCGAGCGGCCGAUAUCUGAUUAGCUGGUUGGCGGGGUAAAGGCCCACCAAGGCGACGAUCAGUAGCGGGUCUGAGAGGAUGAUCCGCCACACUGGGACUGAGACACGGCCCAGACUCCUACGGGAGGCAGCAGU